This 468-nucleotide ribosomal RNA is filed under the name uncultured bacterium. Its description in RNAcentral is "partial 16S ribosomal RNA". It matches the Rfam family "Bacterial small subunit ribosomal RNA", at positions 28 to 507 of the family's 1533-position model. The record is from RNAcentral.
GACGAACGCUGGCGGCGUGCUUAACACAUGCAAGUCGAACGGAAAGGCCCUGCUUGUGUGGGGUGCUCGAGUGGCGAACGGGUGAGUAACACGUGAGUAACCUUCCCUUGACUGUGGGAUAACUUCAGGAAACUGUGGCUAAUACCGGAUAGGUGCUCCUGCUGGAUGGUGGUGGAUGGAAAGGUUCGGCGGUGGGGGAUGGACGCGCGGCUUAUCAGCUGGUUGGGGGGGUAGUGGCUUACCAAGGCUUUGAAGGGUAGCCGGCCUGAGAGGGUGACCGGCAACAUUGGGACUGAGAUACGGCACAGACUACUGCGGGAGGCAGCAGUGGGGAAUAUUGCCCGAUGGGCGGAAGCCUGAUGAAGCAACGCCGCGUGAGGGAUGACGGCCUUCGGGUUGUAAACCGCUUUCGCCUGUGACGAAGCGUAAGUGACGGUAAUGGGUAAAGAAGCACCGGCUAACUACGUG